UACGUAGGGGGCAGGCGUUGUCCGGAUUUAUUGGGCGUAAAGAGCGUGUAGGCGGCCUGAAAGGUCAGCUGUGAAAACUCGAGGCUCAACCUCGAGACGUCGGUUGAAACCAUCUGGCUAGAGUCCGGAAGAGGAGUGUGGAAUUCCCGGUGUAGCGGUGAAAUGCGCAGAUAUCGGGAAGAACACCCGUGGCGAAGGCGGCACUCUGGGACGGUACUGACGCUGAGACGCGAAAGCGUGGGGAGCGAACAGG
Molecule: ribosomal RNA, 253 nt
Filed under: uncultured bacterium
Lineage: Bacteria
Description: partial 16S ribosomal RNA
Rfam family: Bacterial small subunit ribosomal RNA
Source: RNAcentral